GCGCCCUUAGCUCAACUGGAUAGAGCAUCUGACUACGGAUCAGAAGGUUAGGGGUUCGACUCCCUUAGGGCGUGCCA
This 77-nucleotide transfer RNA is filed under the name Candidatus Cloacimonadota bacterium. Its description in RNAcentral is "tRNA-Arg". It matches the Rfam family "tRNA". From Rfam's summary of the family: Transfer RNA (tRNA) molecules are approximately 80 nucleotides in length. The record is from RNAcentral. Lineage: Bacteria; Pseudomonadati; Candidatus Cloacimonadota.